GUCCUAUUGAUAUUAAUUUUAGGUCUGACCUGCCCACUGAAAAUUUAAAUGGCCGCAGUAUUUUGACUGUGCUAAGGUAGCAUAAUCAUUAGUUUCUUAAUUGGAAGCUGGAAUGAAGGGUUUGAUGAAAAAUACACUUUCUUUUUUAUAAUUUUUUUGAAUUUUAUUUUUAAGUUAAAAAGCUUAAAUUUUUUAGGGGGACGAGAAGACCCUAUAGAGUUUUAUUAUUAAAGUUUUAAUAUAGUUUUAGAAUUUACAUUUUAUGGUUUUAAUAAUUUGAUUGGGGUGAUUAUAAAAUAGGAAAAACUUUUAUUUUACACUAACGUUAAUUUACGGUAAAUUGAUCCUAAAACUAGAUUAAAAGAUAAGUUACCUUAGGGAUAACAGCGUAAUUAUUUAUAGAGUUCUUAUCGAAUAAAUAGAUUGCGACCUCGAUGUUGGAUUAGAAUAGAUUUUAGGUGUAGCAGCUUAACAAUCGGGUCUGUUCGACCCUUAAAUUUCUACA
This 505-nucleotide ribosomal RNA is filed under the name Homalispa vespertina. RNAcentral's name for it is "partial 16S ribosomal RNA". It matches the Rfam family "Bacterial large subunit ribosomal RNA", at positions 1829 to 2600 of the family's 2925-position model. The record is from RNAcentral. Lineage: Eukaryota; Metazoa; Arthropoda; Insecta; Coleoptera; Chrysomelidae.